This is a long non-coding RNA of Gallus gallus (chicken), 2035 nucleotides long. RefSeq lists it as uncharacterized. Lineage: Eukaryota; Metazoa; Chordata; Aves; Galliformes; Phasianidae. The transcript is spliced from 2 exons. The record is from RefSeq and is a predicted model, not a curated record.
GGGGCGAGCGGCAGUGAGAGACGGCGAUUGGCGGUCGGGGCUCUCCAGAAAGUAGAAGGUUGGAGCGGGGAGCGCUGAUUGGACGAGGGGAUUGCGGCGCGGCGGUGCCCGCGGGGGCCGUUAGGCGGGAGGGGCCGGUGCUGCCCUCACAGCGAGGGCCCGUCAAAGCUCUUCUAAUGUUUGUGAUAGGAGUCUACUGCUGCCGUACCGUUGCUAUUUAUAUUCCUGCUGGCUGAAACCUCUUGGCACCCUACCUCCGUGCUCUGUCAGCAAGCACUCCUUCACAGUAUAGCUACCUCUUACAGCUCUUAGUAAAUGAAAAUUAGAUUCGUCAGAGACAAUCAAGAAACAAGUGCGAAGGAUCUGAGCAAAAUAUGUGAAGGUUUUAUGAGUAAAUACAGCUUUUAGAAUACAAGUGAAAUCCAGAGGAACUUCUGAAGAAUGCAGGUUGCCCUCUUGUUACCUGAUGCUAGCGAUCUAGUCUGGAAAGUCACAAAAGCCCAUUCUGAAGCAUGUGGUAAUAUCAAGAGCAAGAGCUGCCAGGAAAUACACUGAUACUUUAGGUUUGUGUGGCACAGAGCCCAUUUAUCCCUCCUCCCCAUUCAAUCUGCUGAAACAGCUCCGCAACGUCACCCCCUACAGUAAUGCUACUCCGUAGAAAUUCCAUGCAGUAACAGUCCUGCUUUAUCCUCCUGCUGCCUCACACCAGCCAGCUGAGUCACUGCCAGCAUGCUGAACCACAGCCACGCUAUUCCUGUGCUGACCCAUCAAAAAGGAGGCUUUUAAGUCAUAACUGUUUCUUCAGUGUCCUAAGUGAACUACUCAAUCCUUGGAAAUCUGAGGCUGUUGGAACUGAAAUCUGACAACUGCAACAGUCUCUGAACUGCCAACGCAUCCAUAAGAAAUGUCAAUGAGUACAGUGUGCAGUAGAAAAACAUAAUACCCAACUGCACAUCCAGAAGGGCACGGCUUCUUAGACCCAAAUAUAAGAGAACGGACAGCUGAAUCCAAAAUCCCACACCGGUUACAGAACAGCUCCACACCACUGCAAGAAAAAACACCCAAACAUACCUUUUAAAACACGUUUAUUAGUCAACCACAAUUAUAAAAUUUAAAUAUUUAUACAGCAAGAUGGAAAUUCUGUUAAAGUAACCCAACAUUCCACAUUGCAUUUUGCUGCAGUAUACACAGGAAUGGUUUUGUUUCUUUUACGAGUUGAUCCAACAUCAUCCUUUAGUUAUAUUCAAGCACUUCUCGAAGGUAUGUUUCAUUUUGAGAACGCAUUUCACAUUUCUCAGUGCAAUACAGAAAAGAAAAAAUUCAAGACCACGAUCAACUGAUUCCAAAAAGGAAAGAAAAAAAAAGAAACAAAAGAAAAACAGGGCAGGCACUUUGAAGUUGGCUACUCCGUCAGCAGCUCGUGGUUCACGUUUGCAUGUGUUGUCACAAUCGAGAGGCUACAGAUUAACAUGUUCCUUUGAUGCACACAAAUAACUGCUCCAAAUAUUGCAGUUUGUUUUGCAAAACAUGCAUGAAGACCCCACACUUUUUAAAUCUUCUGUAGGAGAGAAGGAACACAAAAGCAGCCAGAAAUGGAAGCAUUCACAAACAUCAGUAUAAGGCCCUUUAACAUUUAUUCAAAGUAACGUGUUAAACCCCUUCAUUCUCAGGCAAUAGAUUAAGAGGCCGAGACACACAUCGUCUGCGAGGGUGAGGAUACUGGAGGUUGGCAGUGUCAGCAUCGCAAGAGUGCUCUAUCAGAGGAGGAGGAGGAAGGAGCUGGGCAUGACUGGACCAUCUCGAUCCAGCCCGUGGGGAAUCCAGAGGGGGAAAGAAAUACCUGAAACAAUUAAGACAGGAACAAAACACCAAAACAAAAACAAAACAAACAAAACAAAACAAAACAACAAAAAAAAAAAAAACAAGAAAAAAGAGAAAGGCAGUAAAUACAAGGAGAACCAAAGGGGAGAAAAGACAUGCUGGAAAACAAACAAAAAAAAAAAGCUUUAGUAUAUCCAUGCCAAAACCAAUAGAA